UACGUAGGGGGCAAGCGUUAUCCGGAUUUACUGGGUGUAAAGGGAGCGUAGACGGCAGAGCAAGUCUGAAGUGAAAGCCCGCGGCCCAACUGCGGGACUGCUUUGGAAACUGCCCGGCUAGAGUGCUGGAGAGGUAAGCGGAAUUCCUAGUGUAGCGGUGAAAUGCGUAGAUAUUAGGAGGAACACCAGUGGCGAAGGCGGCUUACUGGACAGUAACUGACGUUGAGGCUCGAAAGCGUGGGGAGCGAACAGG
Molecule: ribosomal RNA, 253 nt
Filed under: uncultured bacterium
Lineage: Bacteria
Description: partial 16S ribosomal RNA
Rfam family: Bacterial small subunit ribosomal RNA
Source: RNAcentral